GCCCGCUCAGAAACUUAAAGAAUUGACGGGGGCCCGCACAAGCGGUGGAGCAUGUGGUUUAAUUCGAUGCAACGCGAAGAACCUUACCUAGGCUUGACAUGCAGGGGACAGGUGUAGAAAUACAUCCUUCCUUCCGGGACCCUUGCACAGGUGCUGCAUGGCUGUCGUCAGCUCGUGUCGUGAAAUGUUGGGUUAAGUCCCGCAACGAGCGCCAACCCCUGUCUUUAGUUGCCAUCAGGUUAUGCGUGGGGACUCUAGAGAGACUGCCGGUGACAAACCGGAGGAAGGUGGGGAUGACGUCAAGUCAUCAUGGCCCUUACGCCUAGGGCUACACACGUGCUACAAUGGUCGGUACAAAGGGCAGCAAUACCGUGAGGUGGAGCGAAUCCCAAAAAGCCGGCCUCAGUUCGGAUCGAAGUCUGCAACUCGACUUCGUGAAGUUGGAAUCGCUAGUAAUCGCGUAUCAGAACGACGCGGUGAAUACGUUCCCGGGCCUU
RNAcentral lists this ribosomal RNA (497 nucleotides) under uncultured Latescibacterota bacterium. RNAcentral describes it as "bacterial SSU rRNA". It matches the Rfam family "Bacterial small subunit ribosomal RNA", at positions 904 to 1382 of the family's 1533-position model. The record is from RNAcentral. Lineage: Bacteria; Pseudomonadati; Candidatus Latescibacterota.